UUGAACGCUGGCGGCAUGCUUUACACAUGCAAGUCGAACGGCAGCGCGGGGCAACCUGGCGGCGAGUGGCGAACGGGUGAGUAAUAUAUCGGAACGUACCCAGAAGUGGGGGAUAACGUAGCGAAAGUUACGCUAAUACCGCAUACGAUCUACGGAUGAAAGUAGGGGACCGCAAGGCCUUAUGCUUUUGGAGCGGCCGAUAUCUGAUUAGCUAGUUGGCGAGGUAAAGGCUCACCAAGGCGACGAUCAGUAGCUGGUCUGAGAGGACGACCAGCCACACUGGAACUGAGACACGGUCCAGACUCCUACGGGAGGCAGCAGUGGGGAAUUUUGGACAAUGGGCGCAAGCCUGAUCCAGCAAUGCCGCGUGAGUGAAGAAGGCCUUCGGGUUGUAAAGCUCUUUUGUCAGGGAAGAAACGGUAGAGGCUAAUAUCCUUUGCUAAUGACGGUACCUGAAGAAUAAGCACCGGCUAACUACGUG
This 481-nucleotide ribosomal RNA is filed under the name uncultured bacterium. Its description in RNAcentral is "partial 16S ribosomal RNA". It matches the Rfam family "Bacterial small subunit ribosomal RNA", at positions 30 to 507 of the family's 1533-position model. The record is from RNAcentral.